This 484-nucleotide ribosomal RNA is filed under the name uncultured bacterium. RNAcentral describes it as "partial 16S ribosomal RNA". It matches the Rfam family "Bacterial small subunit ribosomal RNA", at positions 30 to 507 of the family's 1533-position model. The record is from RNAcentral.
AUUGAACGCUGGCGGCAGGCCUAACACAUGCAAGUCGAGCGGCUGAAGGGAGCUUGCCCCUGGAUUCAGCGGCGGACGGGUGAGUAAUGUCUAGGAAUCUGCCUGGUAGUGGGGGAUAACGUCCGGCAACGGGCGCUAAUACCGCAUACGCCCUGAGGGAGAAAGUGGGGGAUCCUCGGACCUCACGCUAUCAGAUGAGCCUAGGUCGGAUUAGCUAGUUGGUGGGGUAAAGGCCUACCAAGGCGACGAUCCGUAACUGGUCUGAGAGGAUGAUCAGUCACACUGGAACUGAGACACGGUCCAGACUCCUACGGGAGGCAGCAGUGGGGAAUAUUGGACAAUGGGCGAAAGCCUGAUCCAGCCAUGCCGCGUGUGUGAAGAAGGUCUUCGGAUUGUAAAGCACUUUAAGUUGGGAGGAAGGGCAGUAAGUUAAUACCUUGCUGUUUUGACGUUACCAACAGAAUAAGCACCGGCUAACUUCGUG